UUCAUAUGAUAAUUCGACGAGAGACGCCAACCAAAAGACCUCGAGAUUCCUCUUGCCACGCGAUUCUAGCCUCCAGCACCUUUUUUCUGCCAAACACGUACCUAUGCAUGUAAGAGGGAGUGAGACUGUGACUAAGAGUAUCUGCACGUCUUUCUGACACAGAUAGAGAGCGCUAUGGCGACCCCUCAGAAGCCAUGGAAGGCGGAUUACGCGAAGUAGGGCGAUCAUUAUGCAAGACCUGCAAGAAACCCAUCGACAAAGUGAAUCUCAGCUCGGCAAAAUGGUCCAAGGAGAAUGAAAUUACAAAUAGUCAGGAGGAUUACUUGGUUGA
RNAcentral lists this unclassified non-coding RNA (331 nucleotides) under Hevea brasiliensis (rubber tree). The record is from RNAcentral. Lineage: Eukaryota; Viridiplantae; Streptophyta; Magnoliopsida; Malpighiales; Euphorbiaceae.